This 21-nucleotide microRNA is filed under the name Homo sapiens (human). Its description in RNAcentral is "hsa-miR-6503-3p". Lineage: Eukaryota; Metazoa; Chordata; Mammalia; Primates; Hominidae. The record is from miRBase by way of RNAcentral.
GGGACUAGGAUGCAGACCUCC